CACAAUUUAGAGAGUAUUUCAAUACAUGGCUUGUUGUGAGAGAUUUGAGGCCAUUAAGGUGGGAAGAUCAUAAGCAAGAUAACAUGACAUUGUGGAGAAGUCAACCUCGUGAUCUUUAUCGUAGGUCACUUCCUGGACUUGUGUUAGCUAUUUAAAGUUUAGACACAACACAACUCAUUGUUAUGUAAUGUACUAUGUACUAUGUAUCAUGAAUUUGGUCAUGUGAAUUAAACAUCAUUUUCAAAUUUUUCUUGAAGGAAUUAGUAGCUAUAUAUUUGGCUUGUGGAUAUAGUCAACUGUUGUAUCAUGAAUUUGGUCAUGUGAAUUAAACAUCAUUUUCAAAUUUUUCUUGAAGGAAUUAGUAGCUAUAUAUUUGGCUUGUGGAUAUAGUCAACUGUUGUAUUAAAUUGGAAAGGAAGAGAAUGAAUAAGAGGUUAAGAAUUAAGUUGAAAGUAGGUGAUAGCUUAAUGGUGCAUAUAAUAUGAAAGUAAGAGAUAUUAUGUUAGUUUAGUCUAUUGUUUUUAAUCUUAGUUCCUCUCUUUCUUUCGAUCGUUGUCUUUCCCUUCUUGUAGAACAACUUGAGAAAUGGAUACAACACCACCGAACCAAUAUCUAUUUAGCUGUUACUUUUUUCUCUCUAUCAGUUUCUCACGCGUCCUAUUUGAUUGGAUUCUAAAGUCCAAAAACUUCAUAAAUUGUUGGAACCUAAAACACCUUUAUACUGUUCAAAUUAUAGAAUCCAAAGUUUUUUAUUUAGUUUUAGAUUAUAAAAUCCGAAAAGUGUCAAACACUUACAAAUUUUGAAGUAAAAAAAGACACUUUUCGUAUUAUAUAAUCUAAAAUGUCAUAAAACAUUUCAGAUUAUAUAAUCCGAACGGUCUUAACACAGAAACAUGAAUUUUGUUUUUUUUGGAUAAGAUAUACAUAUGGUAAGAAUUUGAUAUAAACAGGCAUUCAUGAUCGUAUAGAAUAAAUACUUUAAUACAAAACAUAAAUAAAAAACACAACACAAUUUUCAAACAUUAAAUUAAAAACAGAAAUUAUCCAAAUGUUAGAAACCAAAUGUUCAAACAUAAAAUUAGAAUUAAUUCAAAGGUUACGACAUCAUUAAACUAAGCUCUGCCACCUCAUCCCUACCACGCCUACAACAAUAAACCUGCCCUCCAUGAACCCCCCACAUGAUUGCUUCCAAAUGACUCCAUUCAUCAGUCCCUUGCUCCGCCACACCACUGACCAUGACGACAUAGACUACGUCUCUGAUACGUCUCGAUAAGGAACAACCUUGUCCGAAUAAUAUAUUGAUGUAAGAUGACCAUCCUGGUGAGCCUCCUUGUUCCUCCUGUAGACGCUCCUUGAAAAUUUCCUUCAAGUAGAUAAAUCGUGCAUGUCCACAAUUUGUCCUUUCCACCUGCUCCCAUGCCUUCACCACUUCAGACCCCAACAACUGCACCAUCAUGUCAAAAGCCUCAGUCUUGGGCACUUAACCUUGUGGGCCAAGAGCAUGCCCUCGAUGGAGAGAUGCAGCAAACAAGACACGUCAUCAAGUGUCAUUGUCCUCUCCCCAAAUGAAAUAUGGAAGCUCGAAGUCUCCUCAUGCCAUCUCUCAACAAAGGCAGAACACGACCCAUGGUUAAUAACAUUAUAGCUGGUAUCCUGCAACAACUGAAAACCAGUGGCUCUCAGGCCAUCCUUAAACCAUCGUGCAACCAUUCGAGCCCUGUUUUCUUUAUCAUGUAUCGUCACAAUCUUCUUUCCGUUGUUUAUAUAUUUUAAAUUGUCACGCCAGUGCAAAGAUAAAAAACAAAAAUUUAACAUCAGUUUCACAAUAAUCAGAAUAGUACAUGAAAAAAAUAACAACAGUUUAUAAUAAUUAAAACAACAUCGGAAUUUAAUUUACAUUUGAUAAAAGGUGUAGCGUUUUACCACUUCAUCAUCAGCCAUCCCAGCCAGGUGAACAUGAUACAUGGCCAGCACAGUCAAGUUGUGUGGCCAAUCAGGGAGAGAGAGAGAUGUAACUGUUCCUAAAAAUAAUAUAUAUAGACUACUAAUACACUUGAAUUGCUAAAAAUGCUAACAAGAUUAAUCAUAAUAGUAAUAACAAAAUAUUAAUCAUAUCGACUUUAGUAGACCGACAUGGUAAUCCUAAAAGACUGCUUUAUAGCAUGUAGUUUGACCUUUUUAGCUAAAGGAAUAGAGAUCAGUUUCAAGAAGAAUGAGAAUGAAACUAUAUUUGGUAAACGAUGUAAACGAAUUUGUUGUAUUUAGAAUAAAACAAAACGAUUCUCCGAAGGGCAGUCUUUAAGGAUUUCAAGUUACGAAACUAUUCAUUGAAAAUACUUAAUACUUCAAUUUUCAAUGCAUUAAAUGAACACAUUUCCAUUGAAAUGUACUAUCUAAAAUCUUUAACGGAAAUGUUAACAUGUGCCCUUAAGGCACAUGUUGCUUAAGGCACAUGUUAAUAUACCAAACAUGAAAUUUUGCAUUGGAAAUCGUGUUAAUUUAUUUUUCAAAAAGUUAAAUAAUUCAUGUGAAUUAUUUCUUCUCAAUAAAUACUUACUAUUUUAAGAAUUAUUUGUGCCCUAAGAGCACAAAUUAUCAAGACCCUUUUAAAGAGUGUUCCUAAAAAAUGUCCCUAGCAAACUCAUUAACAUUUCCCUAAAACAAAUAUCAUUUUCUGGAAUAAUAGGAUCAUAUGUAUUUGCCCUAAAUGCACUCCUAAAACAACUUAAGUUAUAGUGCGCGAAAGAAGUCAUGUGUCCAUUGCAUAGAGAACUCAAAAUAUAUCUAUAAAACAGCUUAAUUUAAGUUUGUUCUGCAAAGUAUGUAUAAUUAAUAUUUAAUGAGAACUCAUGAUGUAUGCGUAUCCACACAAUAACUUGAGUUUAUGCAUACCAAGAACUUGUUAUCAAUAAAGUGUGGCAUACCUAUUUUUUGUACAAUCAUGAUUCUCUGGAUUGAAAGUGUCUUCUCCUAACAAAUGUCUUAUCAAACAGCGAGUUAACUAAGGAUCAUUGACCCAAUAAUGGAGCUAGAAGCAAAAACCAUGGGCUGCAAUUAAUGCAUAUAUAGUAUUAUCACUAAGAAAAUUAAUAGUCUCAUAAAUUGGCUGCUAAAGGACAAUAGACUGGAUUGGUUCUCAAUUGAAUUUAAUUAUACGGGGCUAUAUAUGAUUAUGAGUGGUCACUUUGGUUGAUUAUUGUGCAGGAGAAUGUCCAAACUCCAUGCACACGAGGGGUUUCCAUGGCUGGAUCCAAGACAAAUAACAAAUGAUACUAUUUUUGAUGCAAUAAGCUAUACUUUUACUAUAAUGACCUUAUUCAUUUAAUAUCUCAUUUCAUAUAUUUCUCUCUCCGCAAUAAAUAACUAAGGAUAAUAUUGGUAAAAUAACAUUUAAUGUUGCAUUGAACUUUGAAAGUGACAGUUAAAUAGGAUAAAAAUUUUCUCCAAAAGUGACACUUAAAAAGAAAACGGAGGGAGUAGGUUGCAUGCAUGUAUCUAUAUAUAGAAUCAAGAAUCAUUGUCAUUAUAUCUAUAUAUUCAAUUUUUAUAUCAAAAGAAAAACUGUACAUAUAUCAGACUGUCAUGUUCCAGAAGAAAGAUCAGUCGAAGGUAGGGAACGGUUUCCCUUCCAAUCAUCGCAGACAAUUAUGAGGGAUUUAAUUAGAAUGGACCCUAUCUAUGGUUGCAAUUUGUGAUCAGCACUAGUUUUAUUUGACCUUUGCUUUGUUAUUUACUUGAAAUUAUUGCUUUGGAAAUAUGGAUACCGAAUAAUUUUCUGUAUAUUUGAUACAUGAUUGGGUCUCUCAAAUAUGUUGUAUUAGCCUUAAUUUAAGUUAUACUCCUUCCGUCCUUAUAUGUAAUGUAACAUCCUUUUGCUUUUUUCACAUUUUUUAAGAAAAAUUGUUAGUGUAGUUAAUGUGUCUAUUUUAUGUGUUAAUAUUACUAAAUUAUCUUUUGUUUGUAUGUGCAUUAAAUUUGACUUUUUGUAUUUCAAGACAAAUUAGUAGGAUUAAUUAGGGGUAUGUUUAGGAAAGUAAUAAUAAAUGCAUCUAGUAAUUUGAAAAGAAGUCUACAUUUAGGGACAAAAAUAAAAUCAAAUGGGUGCUUACAUAUAGGGACGGAGGAGUAGAUACAAAAAGGUUAUAACUGGAUUUUUUACAACUGCAACACUAUACUGCAACUGUAGCAGUAGACAGGGCCGAACCUUGGGAGUGCAAGGAGCUCAACUAAGCCGGACCUCUAAAAACUUUGGGCCUAAAAACAAAUUAAGUAUAAUACCCACCCCAACUUAAAGAAAAAUUACAUGUUACUUCUUUUUCUUUCUUCGGUACACGUAUGAGUUUUUUCUAGACUCUAGUUCUACUUUCUGGACAUAAAUUUGAUGCUAUAAAACCACCAUCAAUUUGUAUAAUCACUUAAUCAGUCAAUUUGAAAAGCUAUUUCAUUGAAAGAAUCACAACAAUCAUUUCUUUUUCGCAUAAACCAUUCAUUUUUCCCUUUCCCACGACGUAUGAGUGACAUUCCAAACGACACCGUUAAGUAAAUUUCACCUCUCUUUCACUUAAUUUUAUUUUAUUUUGUUUCAUGUUUAGACGUUCUUCUGAUUCUGAUUUUUUAAUGAAGCUUAGCUACACAAAAAAAAAAAAUUAUAUUUUUAUUUUACUGGAUCUAUUUUAAAAAUAGAGCUGAGCAUCCUAUUUGAUAGGAACGGCCCUCACUGUAGAGGAUCUAAAGAAAGUCUAAUUUUAAAAUGUUGAUUAUUGGUGAAUAUUCACACGACCACAUGUUUUUUAACCAUAAGGUUAUUUUGUAAAGCCACUUAGGUGUCAAAAACACUACGACGAGGUCCUUAAUUAUAAGAUCAUUUUGUGUUUUUUCUCUCUUUUUAUAAGAUUAUGAUUAUUAUAAGGUUUAAUUAGAUUUGCAUGGUCAAAGACAAUCCAUUUGCUGGAAAUGGUAAUGCCAUCUUCAAGUUAUCUGACCCCGACGGUCAACUACCCUAAGUGGUCCUACUAACUUAUGAUUGAACAAAAUAAAAUGAGGUAAAAUUAAACUAAGGUUCAGAGGCAUCCCAAUUGUGGUACCACAUAUAUACUGUGAAUUGGGAGUUACAAUAAAUGCAAAUGGGGUCAUUUUCCUUUGCAUGAGUUGUGUGUAUAGUGAUAUUAAUAAUGGUUUGUGAUCCCUAAAAAAAAUAAAAUUUGUUAAUCAGAUAUCAAUUUACAAUAAAUUAUCCUUUCAUAGAUCGGAUAUCUUAUGGUCCAAUUGCAAACACUAAUCUCUCGAAUCUUAUGGAGCUGGGACCGUAUUCAUUUACCAACUUGGAUGGUUUGGACAUUAGACUUCCAAACAACACACAAGAGUAUGAGCCGAAGCUCAUCAUCUAUCAUCAAAACAAGAGCCACGAAUCUGUUACCGUUCUAUAUAAUAUAGGUCCAAAGACAAAGAAAAGAGACCUUGGUAUAAAGUAGCAAUAAUCUAUUAACUUUGUUCCAUUGAAUCUUGGAAUAAACUCUUUGCCCCCAAUAUUCUUGGAAUGACGGUGUUAUUAUGGUUGCUUUUGCCGGUCUUGGAAUCAAUAUACAAACACAUAACUUAGGAAGUUUAAAAGUUAAAGAAAUAGUACAACAAAUUUAAGAAUGAAAUUUUUUAUUACUAUACCAAACAAAAAAUAGAAAUAAAAGAAAUUCAAUUGAACACUCUUGGAAUCUUGAUAGUAAUUGAGGAUGCAGGGAAAUUUAAUAUUUUUGAAUGUGAUGUUGAAAUGGUGGUAAAUUGCCUCUUUUGAGCUACCAAGAUAACAACACUGAAAAACAUAUUGUUAGAUUAUAUUGAUCUUUUGAGUCAUUUCUGUUUAUUGAAACAAUGAUUGUUUCAUCUAAAUUUAGACGAUCUAAGCGCAGGUUAAUAUGCAAUUAGAAGUGUGAAAUGAAUCCCCUUAUGUCACAUUAAAAUGUUUGUAUUUAUAAAUUUUACUUUAUUUUUUAUUUAUGCCACAUAAUGUGUUUAACUUUUUUGAAAAAGGCAAAUUUGUUUGUCCCCUACUCAACUUACAAAUGCUUUUGGGAGGCAGUUGCCUAUGCUGAAAAAAUUGAAGAUCCUCCCCUCCUACAUUCCCAAAACAUCAAUUCAACCUCAUAGCACUUUUAGAUUAUACCUAAAGAUUCAAACAAAAGAGUCCUUCAACUACAAACCAAAGAGCUAAAAAGGGUUAGUUAUUCUAUGUAAACCAUUAACAUAUUUAAGAAUUUUGUAUGAGAUUUGAUAUGAAAAUGUGUUUGUUAAUAAAUGGUAGUAAUUUUUUAAGAGAGCUAUUUUUAACCCCCUCCCUAAUGAUAUCAUAAAAAUCACAUUCAUCCAUAUUUACACAUCUUGACCCAAGAAUACUUAGAUAAGAUCGUAAAAGAUCUUUUCAGUAUAAAAAGAAGUUUUGUGUUCGAAUUUAAUUCUGAGGUGUUUUGUGUUCGAAUUCAGUCUUGAUAUACAAGAGUGUUAAAAAAUUUAAUGAAAAGUUUUGCCACUAUUUAUGGUCAUACCCAACUUGAUUUAGUCUUUCUCCAGUUGCACAUAUAUGAUAUACAAUUGACCCAGAAUAUUUACACAUCUUGAUGAAAAACAAGAGCAUUAUUUCUCCCAUCAAAAUGGGUAAAUUGAUACAAAUAUUAUUUUUUUUUCCGCACGGAGAGGAGUGGUGUUUAAAAAUCAUGGUUGAGGAGGGUGGAGUAGCUACCAUUUUGUAAACAUUGAGUUAAGUCAAUUAAUCCAAAUUGUAAGAUGGUGUCAAAAUCAAUUUCAAAUUAACUAGAUUACAUGUUGUAAGACCACUCAGAUCCUACGUCAAAUAGCUCUUCCUCUAUAUGAAGAUGUGUGCUAAAAGUUUUAUAAUGGAUGAGAUAUGAAUUUUAUAAACCGAUUUUAUACGAGUUGAGUUAAACUUAACCAAAAUUUUAACACCACCACUAGUCCACAACCCACCCACCUCCACGGCUCCACCCCACAAAAAAGAAGCCUUUUUGGCUCUAAAAAUGCACAUACUAGUAAGUCCACAGGCUGUCAUCGUUUUCUCCUCAUAAAUGCAUUCCCACUUAGUAUCAUAUGCUAUGAUUUAAUAUAUAUAUAUAUAUAUAUAGAGAGAGAGUCAGGAUCCGUUGACACCAGGUGUCAACGGAUUCGUUGACACCAAAUCUCAACCGUACAUUAUAUUUAAUCAAAGGCUCACAAUAGUUUCUAAUUUAACUCAUCGUAUGCACCCUUUCUCUCAAUCUCACACUAUUAUUAUUUUCAGUCAUUCAAAAACUCAGAUUGCAUAUAUGAUCGCAUCAUGAUUUAUUCUUGUUUGCAUCUAGAUCUAUUCUCUCUUGGUUAAUUCCUCACAUUGAUCACAUCGCAUGAAGAAGACAUUGAAUUUAGGGGUAUAUUAGAUGAUAUUUCCUCUAAUGAUGGGAUUUUAUGUAUGGGAAUCAAUCACAACUCAUGACUUAUCAAUAUUUAUUUCCUCUAAUGAUGGGAUUUUAUGUAUGGGAAUCAAUCACAACUCAUGACUUAUCAAUAUUAAAAUGGUUAGUUUGUAAAUCAUUGAAAAUAAUGACACAUCUGAAUGCAGAUUAUAUCUAUAUUUGAAAUGAAUUUUAAAGAACCUUUAAUUGAAUUGUUUCCAAUUCCUGGCAUACAAACAAAAAAUCAAGAUUUAUCUAUGCUGGAUAUGAACGGCGGCGACUAUGUAAUUGAGAAAAAUCAAGAACGUGAUGCACAGAUUGAAAAUCCAGUCUGCGUAGGGAAUUAAGUUUUUUAACUAUUGAAGAGGACGAUAAUAUAUCAGACCGAGUGCAAGGAUUGUACACAUUAAAUUAACCGUGAGUUAACUUAGAAACUAUUGUAAGCCUUUAUAAUGUACGGUUGAGAUUUGGUGUCAACGAAUCCGUUGACACCUUGUGUCAACGGAUCCUGACUUUUAUAUAUAUAUAUAUAUAUAUAUAUAUAUAUAUAUAUAUAUAUAUAUAUAUAUUUGUAGUGUGACACAUAAAUCAAUCAAUCUCAACCGUCUAUGCUAAAUUUCUAGAACAAACUAAUGACACCAAACUUUAGCAUCCUUCUCUCAUCCAUCCCUAUAAAUCGCAACCUCCCAUGCCAUGCAAAAAUCAGUGGUAACUCAACAAGUACUAUUUUCUUUACAAAAAGUUUCAUCAAAAGAUGGACUCUAUGGUUGAAAAGCAAAAUAAGUCCAUAGUUGAAAUUCUCUACAAAGCACUUUUGGGUCAAGGAACAAUGGUAGCCAAAUUGCUAGCAAGUGAUCUUGAGUAUUGGUUCCAUGGUCCACCAAAAUGUCAACACAUGAUGAAGGUGUUAACAGGAGAAACAAAUCACAAAAAAGGGUUCAAAUUUGAGCCAAGAAGUGUCACCUCAAUUGGUGAUUGUGUGAUAACUGAGGGGUGGGAAGGACAAGCUUAUUGGGUUCAUGUUUGGACAUUGAAAAAUGGGUUAAUUACACAAUUUAGAGAGUAUUUCAAUACAUGGCUUGUUGUGAGAGAUUUGAGGCCAUUAAAGUGGGAAGAUCAUAAGCAAGAUAACAUGACAUUGUGGAGAAGUCAACCUCGUGAUCUUUAUCGUAGGUCACUUCCUGGACUUGUGUUACCUAUUUAGAGUUUAGACACAACACAACUCAUUGUUAUGUAAUGUACUAUGUACUAUGUAUCAUGAAUUUGGUCAUGUGAAUUAAACAUCAUUUUCAAAUUUUUCUUGAAGGAAUUAGUAGCUAUAUAUUUGGCUUGUGGAUAUAGU
This 8778-nucleotide long non-coding RNA is filed under the name Medicago truncatula (barrel medic). Its description in RNAcentral is "long non-coding RNA (MTRU_LNC005266)". Lineage: Eukaryota; Viridiplantae; Streptophyta; Magnoliopsida; Fabales; Fabaceae. The record is from RNAcentral.